GCUGACGAGUGGCGGACGGGUGAGUAAUGUCUGGGAAACUGCCUGAUGGAGGGGGAUAACUACUGGAAACGGUGGCUAAUACCGCAUAACGUCGCAAGACCAAAGAGGGGGACCUUCGGGCCUCUUGCCAUCAGAUGUGCCCAGAUGGGAUUAGCUGGUUGGUGAGGUAACGGCUCACCAAGGCGACGAUCCCUAGCUGGUCUGAGAGGAUGACCAGCCACACUGGAACUGAGACACGGUCCAGACUCCUACGGGAGGCAGCAGUGGGGAAUAUUGCACAAUGGGCGCAAGCCUGAUGCAGCCAUGCCGCGUGUAUGAAGAAGGCCUUCGGGUUGUAAAGUACUUUCAGCGGGGAGGAAGGUGUUGUGGUUAAUAACCGCAGCAAUUGACGUUACCCGCAGAAGAAGCACCGGCUAACUCCGUGCCAGCAGCCGCGGUAAUACGGAGGGUGCAAGCGUUAAUCGGAAUUACUGGGCGUAAAGCGCACGCAGGCGGUCUGUCAAGUCGGAUGUGAAAUCCCCGGGCUCAACCUGGGAACUGCAUUCGAAACUGGCAGGCUUGAGUCUUGUAGAGGGGGGUAGAAUUCCAGGUGUAGCGGUGAAAUGCGUAGAGAUCUGGAGGAAUACCGGUGGCGAAGGCGGCCCCCUGGACAAAGACUGACGCUCAGGUGCGAAAGCGUGGGGAGCAAACAGGAUUAGAUACCCUGGUAGUCCACGCCGUAAACGAUGUCUACUUGGAGGUUGUGCCCUUGAGGCGUGGCUUCCGGAGCUAACGCGUUAAGUAGACCGCCUGGGGAGUACGGCCGCAAGGUUAAAACUCAAAUGAAUUGACGGGGGCCCGCACAAGCGGUGGAGCAUGUGGUUUAAUUCGAUGCAACGCGAAGAACCUUACCUGGUCUUGACAUCCACGGAAGUUUUCAGAGAUGAGAAUGUGCCUUCGGGAACCGUGAGACAGGUGCUGCAUGGCUGUCGUCAGCUCGUGUUGUGAAAUGUUGGGUUAAGUCCCGCAACGAGCGCAACCCUUAUCCUUUGUUGCCAGCGGUCCGGCCGGGAACUCAAAGGAGACUGCCAGUGAUAAACUGGAGGAAGGUGGGGAUGACGUCAAGUCAUCAUGGCCCUUACGACCAGGGCUACACACGUGCUACAAUGGCGCAUACAAAGAGAAGCGACCUCGCGAGAGCAAGCGGACCUCAUAAAGUGCGUCGUAGUCCGGAUUGGAGUCUGCAACUCGACUCCAUGAAGUCGGAAUCGCUAGUAAUCGUGGAUCAGAAUGCCACGGUGAAUACGUUCCCGGGCCUUGUACACACCGCCCGUCACACCAUGGGAGUGGGUUGCAAAAGAAGUAGGUAGCUUAACCUUCGGGAGGGCGCUUACCACUUUGUGAUUCAUGACUGGGGUGAAGUCGUAACAAGGUAACCGUAGGGGAACCUGCGGUUGGAUCACCUCCUUACCUUAAAGAA
RNAcentral lists this ribosomal RNA (1459 nucleotides) under Salmonella enterica subsp. enterica serovar Cerro. RNAcentral describes it as "bacterial SSU rRNA". It matches the Rfam family "Bacterial small subunit ribosomal RNA". Lineage: Bacteria; Pseudomonadati; Pseudomonadota; Gammaproteobacteria; Enterobacterales; Enterobacteriaceae. The record is from RNAcentral.